RNAcentral lists this ribosomal RNA (809 nucleotides) under Olea europaea subsp. europaea. RNAcentral describes it as "Eukaryotic small subunit ribosomal RNA". It matches the Rfam family "Eukaryotic small subunit ribosomal RNA", at positions 4 to 1113 of the family's 1831-position model. The record is from Rfam by way of RNAcentral. Lineage: Eukaryota; Viridiplantae; Streptophyta; Magnoliopsida; Lamiales; Oleaceae.
UUGGUUGAUCCUGUCAGUAGUCAUAUGCUUGUCUCAAAGAUUAAGCCAUGCAUGUGUAAGUAUGAAUUAAUUGAGACUGUGAAACUGUGAAUGGCUCAUUAAAUCAGUUAUAGUUUGUUUGAUGGUAGUUGCUACUCGGAUAACCAUAGUAUUUCUAGAUCUAAUGCGUGCAACAAAACUCAACUUCUAGAAGGGAUGCAUUUAUUAAAUAAAAGGUCGACGUGGGCUCACCCGUUGCUACGAUGAUUCAUGAUAACUCGAUGGAUCGCAUGGCCCUCGUGUUGGAGACGCAUCAUUCAAAUUUUUGCCAUAUCAACUUUCGAUGGUGGGAUAGUGGCCUACUAUGGUAGUGACAGGUGAUAGAGAAUUAGGGUUUGAUUUCAGAGAUUGUCCCUUUUGUUGACGAUGCGCUUCUGGCCUUAACUAGUUGGGUCGUGCCUCCGGUGCUAUUACUUUGAAGAAAUUAGAGUACUCAAAGUAAGCCUAUGCUCUGGAUACUUUAGCAUUGGAUAACAUUAUAGGAUUUCGGUCCUAUUACGUUGGCCUUCGGGAUCGAAGUAAUGAUUAACAGGUAAAAUUGGAGACAAUCCUAUUUCAUAGUCAGUGAUGAAAUUCUUGGGUUUAUGAAAGAUGAACAACUGCAAAAGCAUUUUCCAAGGAUGUUUUCAUUAAUCAAAAAUGAAAGUUGGGGGCUCGAAGAUGAUCAGAUAUGGUCCUAAUCUCAACCAUAAACGAUGUCGACUAGGGAUCGACGGAUGUUGCUUAUAGGACUCCGCUGGCACCUUAUGAGAAAUCAAAGUUUUUGGGUU